GAUGAAGAACGUAGCGAAAUGCGAUACGUAAUGUGAAUUGCAAAUUCAGUGAAUCAUCGAGUCUUUGAACGCACAUUGCGCCCCCUGGUAUUCCGGGGGGCAUGCCUGUCCGAGCGUCAUUGCUGCCCUCAAGCACGGCUUGUGUGUUGGGCCCCGUCCUCCGAUCCCGGGGGACGGGCCCGAAAGGCAGCGGCGGCACCGCGUCCGGUCCUCGAGCGUAUGGGGCUUUGUCACCCGCUCUGUAGGCCCGGCCGGCGCUUGCCGAUCAACCCAAAUUUUUAUCCAGGUUGACCUCGGAUCAGGUAGGGAUACCCGCUGAACUUAAGCAUAUCAAUAAGGGAGGA
RNAcentral lists this unclassified non-coding RNA (344 nucleotides) under soil metagenome. Its description in RNAcentral is "partial contains 5.8S ribosomal RNA, internal transcribed spacer 2, and large subunit ribosomal RNA". The stretch from base 1 to 119 matches the Rfam family "5.8S ribosomal RNA", at positions 35 to 154 of the family's 154-position model. The record is from RNAcentral.